This 619-nucleotide ribosomal RNA is filed under the name uncultured bacterium. RNAcentral describes it as "bacterial SSU rRNA". It matches the Rfam family "Bacterial small subunit ribosomal RNA", at positions 60 to 692 of the family's 1533-position model. The record is from RNAcentral.
AGUCGAACGAUGAAGCCCAGCUUGCUGGGUGGAUUAGUGGCGAACGGGUGAGUAACACGUGAGUAACCUGCCCUUGACUCUGGGAUAACCACUGGAAACGGUGUCUAAUACCGGAUAUUUCAGCUGGCCGCAUGGUCUGGUUGUGGAAAGAAUUUUGGUCAAGGAUGGACUCGCGGCCUAUCACGUAGUUGGUGAGGUAAUGGCUCACCAAGCCUACGACGGGUAGCCGGCCUGAGAGGGUGACCGGCCACACUGGGACUGAGACACGGCCCAGACUCCUACGGGAGGCAGCAGUGGGGAAUAUUGCACAAUGGGCGAAAGCCUGAUGCAGCAACGCCGCGUGAGGGACGACGGCCUUCGGGUUGUAAACCUCUUUUAGUAGGGAAGAAGCGAAAGUGACGGUACCUGCAGAAAAAGCACCGGCUAACUACGUGCCAGCAGCCGCGGUAAUACGUAGGGUGCAAGCGUUGUCCGGAAUUAUUGGGCGUAAAGAGCUCGUAGGCGGUUUGUCGCGUCUGCUGUGAAAACUGGAGGCUCANCCUCCAGCCUGCAGUGGGUACGGGCAGACUAGAGUGCGGAAGGGGAGAUUGGAAUUCCUGGUGUAGCGGUGGAAUGCGCA